GACGAACGCUGGCGGCGUGCUUAACACAUGCAAGUCGAACGAGGUCCAUGGUGCAGCAAUGCACCGGAAGACCUAGUGGCGAACGGGUGAGGAACACGUGAGAAACCUGCCCCGGACUCUGGGAUAACAGUUGGAAACGACUGCUAAUACCGGAUGCCGUCGCGAAGUGGCAUCACUUUGUGACGAAAGAAUUUCGGUUCGGGAGGGUCUCGCGGCCUAUCAGCUAGUUGGUGGGGUAACGGCCUACCAA
This 250-nucleotide ribosomal RNA is filed under the name uncultured bacterium. RNAcentral describes it as "partial 16S ribosomal RNA". It matches the Rfam family "Bacterial small subunit ribosomal RNA", at positions 28 to 271 of the family's 1533-position model. The record is from RNAcentral.